Molecule: ribosomal RNA, 253 nt
Filed under: uncultured bacterium
Lineage: Bacteria
Description: partial 16S ribosomal RNA
Rfam family: Bacterial small subunit ribosomal RNA
Source: RNAcentral
UGCGAAGGGGGCUAGCGUUGCUCGGAAUCACUGGGCGUAAAGGGUGCGUAGGCGGGUCUUUAAGUCAGGGGUGAAAUCCUGGAGCUCAACUCCAGAACUGCCUUCGAUACUGGAAAGCUCGAGUCCGGGAGAGGUGAGUGGAACUGCGAGUGUAGAGGUGAAAUUCGUAGAUAUUCGCAAGAACACCAGUGGCGAAGGCGGCUCACUGGCCCGGUACUGACGCUGAGGUGCGAAAGCGUGGGGAGCAAACAGG